CAUGGCUUUUAUGAUUGUAAAUCCCUGGGAAAGAGGCAUGGCCUUGGUUCCUGUGAGUCCCAGUAAAGUAGGUGUGGAUUUGUCUCCUGUCAAUCCCGAUGAUGGAGGCAUGGCAUCAGUUCCUGUCAGCCCCAGUGAAGGAGGCAUAACCUGUGAGUCUCUUAGACACAGGAAAGGAGGCGUGGGCUCAGCUCCUGUCAGUCCCAUUGAGGAAAGAGUGGCCUCAACUCCUGUCAAUCCCAGUGAAGAAGGUGUGGCCUCAGCUCCUGUCAAUCCCAGUGAAGAAGGUGUGGCCUCAGCUCCUGUCAAUCCCAGUGAAGAAGGUGUGGCCUCAGCUCCUGUCAGCCCCAGUGAAGAAGGUGUGGCCUCAGCUCCUGUCAAUCCCAGUGAAGAAGGUGUGGCCUCAGCUCCUGUCAGCCCCAGUGAAGAAGGAGUGGUCUCAGCUCCUGUCAGUCCCAUUGAGGAAAGAGUGGCCUCAACUCCUGUCAAUCCCAGUGAA
Molecule: long non-coding RNA, 499 nt
Organism: Ictalurus punctatus (channel catfish)
Lineage: Eukaryota; Metazoa; Chordata; Actinopteri; Siluriformes; Ictaluridae
Source: Ensembl